GGCUCAGAUUGAACGCUGGCGGAAUGCUUUACACAUGCAAGUCGAACGGUAGAGGGGGCAACCCCUCGAGAGUGGCGAACGGGUGAGUAAUAUAUCGGAACGUGCCCAGUCGUGGGGGAUAACGUAGCGAAAGUUACGCUAAUACCGCAUACGAUCUAUGGAUGAAAGCGGGGGACCGAAAGGCCUCGCGCGAUUGGAGCGGCCGAUGUCAGAUUAGGUAGUUGGUGGGGUAAAGGCUCACCAAGCCGACGAUCUGUAGCUGGUCUGAGAGGACGACCAGCCACACUGGAACUGAGACACGGUCCAGACUCCUACGGGAGGCAGCAGUGGGGAAUAUUGGACAAUGGGCGCAAGCCUGAUCCAGCCAUGCCGCGUGUGUGAAGAAGGCCUUCGGGUUGUAAAGCACUUUCAGCGAGGAGGAAGAGUUGUGUGUUAAUAGUACACAGCUUUGACGUUACUCGCAGAAGAAGCACCGGCUAACUCUGUG
RNAcentral lists this ribosomal RNA (487 nucleotides) under uncultured bacterium. Its description in RNAcentral is "bacterial SSU rRNA". It matches the Rfam family "Bacterial small subunit ribosomal RNA", at positions 21 to 507 of the family's 1533-position model. The record is from RNAcentral.